Molecule: ribosomal RNA, 253 nt
Filed under: uncultured bacterium
Lineage: Bacteria
Description: partial 16S ribosomal RNA
Rfam family: Bacterial small subunit ribosomal RNA
Source: RNAcentral
UACGUAGGGUGCAAGCGUUGUCCGGAAUUAUUGGGCGUAAAGAGCUCGUAGGCGGCUUGUUACGUCGUUCGUGAAAACCUGCAGCUCAACUGCAGGCUUGCGGUCGAUACGGGCAGGCUAGAGUUCGGUAGGGGAGACUGGAAUUCCUGGUGUAGCGGUGAAAUGCGCAGAUAUCAGGAGGAACACCGGUGGCGAAGGCGGAUCUCUGGGCCAUUACUGACGCUGAGGAGCGAAAGCGUGGGGAGCGAACAGG